RNAcentral lists this ribosomal RNA (253 nucleotides) under uncultured bacterium. RNAcentral's name for it is "partial 16S ribosomal RNA". It matches the Rfam family "Bacterial small subunit ribosomal RNA", at positions 524 to 776 of the family's 1533-position model. The record is from RNAcentral.
UACAGAGACUGCAAGCGUUAUUCGGAUUCACUGGGCGUAAAGGGUGCGCAGGCGGCCAAGUGUGUGAGGCGUGAAAGCCUGGGGCUUAACUCCAGAAUUGCACCUCAAACUACAUGGCUAGAGCAUUGGAGAGGGUAGCAGAAUUCACGGUGUAGCAGUGAAAUGCGUAGAUAUCUGGAGGAAUACCGGUGGCGAAGGCGGCAUCCUGGACCGGCAUUGACGCUGAACAGCGAAAGCUAGGGGAGCAAACGGG